RNAcentral lists this ribosomal RNA (366 nucleotides) under uncultured fungus. RNAcentral describes it as "eukaryotic LSU rRNA". It matches the Rfam family "Eukaryotic large subunit ribosomal RNA", at positions 40 to 398 of the family's 3401-position model. Lineage: Eukaryota; Fungi. The record is from RNAcentral.
AUAUCAAUAAGCGGAGGAAAAGAAACCAACAGGGAUUGCCCUAGUAACGGCGAGUGAAGCGGCAACAGCUCAAAUUUGAAAUCUGGCCCCUUCGGUCCGAGUUGUAAUUUGCUAGAGGAUGCUUUAUGGUGACGGUGCCGCUCCGAGUUCCCUGGAACGGGACGCCACAGAGGGUGAGAGCCCCGUCUGGCUGGAUCCACCGAGCCUCGUGUUAAAGCUCCUUCAACGAGUCGAGUAGUUUGGGAAUGCUGCUCUAAAAUGGGAGGUAUAUCUCUUCUAAAGCUAAAUAUUGGCCAGAGACCGAUAGCGCACAAGUAGAGUGAUCGAAAGAUGAAAAGCACCUUGAAAAGGGGGUUAAACUAGUAC